RNAcentral lists this ribosomal RNA (253 nucleotides) under uncultured bacterium. RNAcentral's name for it is "partial 16S ribosomal RNA". It matches the Rfam family "Bacterial small subunit ribosomal RNA", at positions 524 to 776 of the family's 1533-position model. The record is from RNAcentral.
UACGUAGGGAGCAAGCGUUGUCCGGAAUCAUUGGGCGUAAAGAGCGCGUAGGCGGCCGUGUAAGUCCGUUCUGAAAGUCGGAGGCUCAACCUCCGAAAGCGGAUGGAUACUGCACGGCUAGAGUCCGGAAGAGGCGAGUGGAAUUCCUGGUGUAGAGGUGAAAUUCGUAGAUAUUAGGAAGAACACCAGUGGCGAAGGCGGCUCACUGGUCCGGUACUGACGCUGAGGUGCGAAAGCGUGGGGAUCAAACAGG